This 2143-nucleotide long non-coding RNA is filed under the name Sparus aurata (gilthead seabream). RNAcentral's name for it is "lncRNA (ENSSAUG00010010703.1)". Lineage: Eukaryota; Metazoa; Chordata; Actinopteri; Spariformes; Sparidae. The record is from RNAcentral.
GUUUGGACAACAGCGUCCUCAUUGAGCAAAUGAACCCCAAUCAACAUCGGCCUCUACUGGGCAACGUGGGUUAUUGAUCAGGGAUAUCCAAGAAUCGUCCAAUAAGAGCCUGGAUUGCGGGUCAUGUGACCUGGCAGACGCGUGAAGGAAGGCUUGAACGGCAACAACAAAUAUGGAGGCGUCUCCUGUCAGCUUCGCACCGGAGAGGUACUGGACGGAGGAAAAAGAAAGGGCGCUCAUAGCUUAUUUCGCUAAUCACAGUUGUUUGUGGAAUCACAAGUCAGAGAGCUACAAAAACCGACAGCUGCGAUGGAAAACUCUGGAAAGCCUGAGGAUCCUCCUGUCUGCUCACUCUCCCCCUGUUAGUUUCACAGUGGAAGACAUCAAGAACAAGUUCAAGAACCUUCGCACAACCUUUCAGCGUCAGUACAAAAUGGUAAAGGCCAGCAAGGUGUGCAGGACCGAGGACGUGUUUGUGCCACAGUGGAAGCACUACCAGCAGCUGAUGUUCCUGCAGGGCUGCUGGGAUCAAGAGGACAGUGCAGAUGACCCCCCUCUGUCACCGCUGAUUCUUCCACAGGAGGAGAACCAGCCUGUGAACACCUCUGGAUCAAUCAUUACCUUCCUCCCCACCCCAGCCACCACCUCCCCGCCCUCCUCUACCUCCUGUGUCCCCUCCAACAUGAUGAUAAAAUGUUACUGGACUGAAGAAAGAGAGCGUGCACUAAUAGCGUUCUACUCUGAGCAUAGCUGUCUGUGGAACAAGAGGUCUGAGAACCACAAUAACCGGCAACUCAGACUGAGGCUGCUGGAGGCUCUGAGGAGUCAGCUGUCUGACCACUCUGUGUCUUUCUCAGUUGAAGACGUCAAAUGCAAGUUCAAGAACCUUCGAACAGUUUUCAACCGUGAAUACAAGGCGGUCCAGACGAGCAGGGUGUCUGACAAACUCUAUGUGUCCAAAUGGAAACACUACCAACAAAUGCUCUUCCUCUGUGAGUCCUGUGAUGAAGACGACAGCACAGACGACUUGAUGCCACAGGAAGACAAGGAUCUGGAGCAUGGAAACCAAACACCCUCCUCCACCCUGAGCAGUUUCUCCUCUAGCUCCAACCAAACCAGCAGCAUCAAGUUCAAUCACCCCACUGCUUCGUCCAACGAUGGCAAAACCACCACCAGUGCUGCCUACCAAAUAUUCCUUGCUGCGUCUCCAGAUCUUCUUAAGCUUGCGAGCCAAACAGCUGCUCCUACUCUAACCACCUCUCCUUACACUGCACAACUGGACACCAAGCCUUGCGCAAACCCCUCCCAUCUAAAUGUUUCUACGUCAGGUUCAGUUCAGCCAGACAGCAGACAGAGUGCAGACUCCCGCUGCCACUGGAGCGAGGCCAAAGUUCAGCAGCUGAUAUCCUUUUACUCUGAGCACAGCUGUCUGUGGAACCACAAAUCCGAGAGCUACAGGAACAGGCUGUUGAGACAGACUCUGUUGGAGACACUAAGCAGCAUUCUGUCUGAUAAUGAGCCAGUCCCAUUUUCAGUGGAAGACAUAAAGACAAAGUUCAGAAACUUGCGCACCAUCUUCCAACGUGAACACAAAGCGGUCAGUUCAAACAAAACAUGUGGCUCAGAGGAUUUUUACCUCCCAAAGUGGAAACAUUACCGUGAGCUGAUGUUCCUCUGCGACUCUUGCGAUGAGGAUGAGCAACCUGAUGACCUGCACUUCCAGGAACCACAGGAGUCCUGCCUCCUCCGCUUGGACUGCCAGCCCCCUCCCUCAUCCUUACAUUACCAUGGUGGUCCCCAAUCUGCUACUAAACUGAACAUCACAUCACUGGGUCUGGGAGCCCCUCCCUCGCCUACUCCUCCAGACUCCCAGCACUCUUCUCCCUCCUCCUGCCCCUCCACAUCCUCCUCUCACACUGACAGCAGAGGGUCAGGACGCAAGCGAGCGGGUCGGCGCCUGCUACCCACCACCAUGGAGGUGCUGGACUUCAUGAGGACAAUCUGUCAGAGCCAGAUGGUGUCACCACAUGCAGGGUUCCUCAAGUAUGUGGAGGAAUGUCUGAACGAGACACCACCCGACAAAGUGAAGAAACUGAAGAAGGAGAUAAUUGAGACGAUCCAUAGCAUAUCGGAGGAGAAUUAG